CCUACGGGAGGCAGCAGUGAGGAAUAUUGGUCAAUGGACGAGAGUCUGAACCAGCCAAGUAGCGUGAAGGAUGACUGCCCUAUGGGUUGUAAACUUCUUUUAUAUGGGAAUAAAAUGUUCCACGUGUGGGAUUUUGUAUGUACCAUAUGAAUAAGGAUCGGCUAACUCCGUGCCAGCAGCCGCGGUAAUACGGAGGAUCCGAGCGUUAUCCGGAUUUAUUGGGUUUAAAGGGAGCGUAGGUGGAUUGUUAAGUCAGUUGUGAAAGUGUGCGGCUCAACCGUAAAAUUGCAGUUGAAACUGGCAGUCUUGAGUACAGUAGAGGUGGGCGGAAUUCGUGGUGUAGCGGUGAAAUGCUUAGAUAUCGCGAAGAACUCCGAUUGCGAAGGCAGUUCACUGGACUGCAACUGACACUGAGGCUCGAAAGUGUGGGUAUCAAACAGGAUUAGAUACCCGGGUAGUC
This 460-nucleotide ribosomal RNA is filed under the name uncultured bacterium. RNAcentral describes it as "partial 16S ribosomal RNA". It matches the Rfam family "Bacterial small subunit ribosomal RNA", at positions 338 to 795 of the family's 1533-position model. The record is from RNAcentral.